CCUACGGGAGGCAGCAGUGGGGAAUAUUGCACAAUGGGGGAAACCCUGAUGCAGCGACGCCGCGUGAGUGAUGAAGUAUUUCGGAUUGUAAAGCCCUAUUAGUAGGGAAGAUAAUGACGGUAUCUGAGUAAUAAGCCCCGGCUAACUCCGUGCCAGCAGCCGCGGUAAUACGUAGGGUGCAAGCGUUACUCGGAUUCACUGGGCGUAAAGAGAGCGUAGGCGGGAGAGCAAGUCAGGUGUGAAAGCCGGUGGCUUAACCCUAGGACUGCUGUGGAAACUGUUAGUCUGGAGUGCAGGAGAGGUAGGUGGAAUUCUUGGUGUAGGGGUAAAAUGCGUAGAGAUUAAGAGGAACACCAAUGGCGAAGGCGACUUGCUGGACUAUAACUGACGUUGAUGCGCGAAAGCGUGGGGAGCAAACAGGAUUAGAUACCCGAGUAGUC
This 440-nucleotide ribosomal RNA is filed under the name uncultured bacterium. Its description in RNAcentral is "partial 16S ribosomal RNA". It matches the Rfam family "Bacterial small subunit ribosomal RNA", at positions 338 to 795 of the family's 1533-position model. The record is from RNAcentral.